Molecule: ribosomal RNA, 301 nt
Filed under: uncultured bacterium
Lineage: Bacteria
Description: partial 16S ribosomal RNA
Rfam family: Bacterial small subunit ribosomal RNA
Source: RNAcentral
CAGCAGCCGCGGUAAUACAGAGGGUGCGAGCGUUAAUCGGAUUUACUGGGCGUAAAGCGUGCGUAGGCGGCUAAUUGAGUCGGAUGUGUAAUCCCCGAGCUUAACUUGGGAAUUGCAUUCGAUACUGGUUAGCUAGAGUGUGGGAGAGGAUGGUAGAAUUCCAGGUGUAGCGGUGAAAUGCGUAGAGAUCUGGAGGAAUACCGAUGGCGAAGGCAGCCAUCUGGCCUAACACUGACGCUGAGGUACGAAAGCAUGGGGAGCAAACAGGAUUAGAUACCCCCGUAGUCCCUGUCUCUUAUAC